GAACGGAGCGUCAUAGAGGGUGAGAAUCCCGUCUUUGGCAUGGGAUCCCCCGGGGCUUUUGUGAUGCGCUCUCGAAGAGUCGAGUUGUUUGGGAAUGCAGCUCAAAAUGGGUGGUGAACUCCAUCUAAAGCUAAACAUUGGCGAGAGACCGAUAGCGAACAAGUACCGUGAGGGAAAGAUGAAAAGCACUUUGGAAAGAGAGUGAAACAGUACGUGAAAUUGUUGAAAGGGAAACGCUUGGAGUCAGUCACGUCGACCGAGACUCAGCCUUGCCCCUUUGGGCUUGGUGUACUUCUCGGCCAACGGGCCAGCAUCAAUUUUGUCCCUCAGAUAAUGGCAAGGGAAAGGUGGCACCCUUAUGGGUGUGUUAUAGUCCCCUGUCGCAUGUGAGGGACGGGAUUGAGGAACUCAGCACGCGCCUCUCGGCGUUCGGGGCUUUGGCCCACGCUUACGUGCUUAGGAUGCUGGCAUAAUGGCUCCAAACGACCCGUCUUGAAACACGGACCAAGGAGUCUAACAUGCCUGCGAGUGUUCGGGUGGAAAACCCGUGUGCGAAACGAAAGUGAAAGUUGGGACCUCUGUCGUGGAGGGCACCGACGCCCGGACCAGACCUUCUGUGACGGAUCUGCGGUAGAGCAUGCAUGUUGGGACCCGAAAGAUGGUGAACUAUGCCUGAAUAGGGUGAAGCCAGAGGAAACUCU
This 701-nucleotide ribosomal RNA is filed under the name Lactifluus sp. 3 JH-2015. RNAcentral describes it as "eukaryotic LSU rRNA". It matches the Rfam family "Eukaryotic large subunit ribosomal RNA", at positions 193 to 865 of the family's 3401-position model. Lineage: Eukaryota; Fungi; Basidiomycota; Agaricomycetes; Russulales; Russulaceae. The record is from RNAcentral.